RNAcentral lists this ribosomal RNA (468 nucleotides) under uncultured bacterium. Its description in RNAcentral is "partial 16S ribosomal RNA". It matches the Rfam family "Bacterial small subunit ribosomal RNA", at positions 28 to 507 of the family's 1533-position model. The record is from RNAcentral.
GACGAACGCUGGCGGCGUGCUUAACACAUGCAAGUCGAACGGUAAGGCCCUGCUUGUGUGGGAUGAUCGAGUGGCGAAAGGGUAACUAACACGUGAGUAACCUGCCAUUUACUGUGAGAUAACUUAAAGUAAUUCGGGUUAAUACCGGAUAGGCGCUCCGGCUGCAUGGGGGGGGUAGGAACGUUUGGGCGGGGGGGGACGGACGCGCGCCUUAUCAGCUUGUGGGGGGGGGGGUGGCUUACGAGGGCAUGGGUGGGUGGCCGGCCUGGGGGGGUGACCGGCCAAAUUGGGACUGAGAUACGGCCAAGCCUCCUCCGGAAGCAAGCAGUGGGGAAUAUUCAACAAUGGGCGAAGCCCGGAUCCGGCACGCCCGCGUGGGGGAUGACGCCCUUCGGUUUGUAACCCGCUUUCGCCUGUAACGAAGCGUUAGUGACGGUAAUUGGUAAAGAAGCACCGGCUAACUACGUG